Molecule: transfer RNA, 72 nt
Filed under: Acinetobacter entericus
Lineage: Bacteria; Pseudomonadati; Pseudomonadota; Gammaproteobacteria; Moraxellales; Moraxellaceae
Description: Acinetobacter sp. BIT-DXN8 tRNA-Arg
Rfam family: tRNA
About the family: Transfer RNA (tRNA) molecules are approximately 80 nucleotides in length. Their secondary structure includes four short double-helical elements and three loops (D, anti-codon, and T loops).
Source: RNAcentral
GUGCUAUUAGCUCAGUUGGAUAGAGCGAUUCCUUCCUAAGGAUAGGUCCAAGUUCAAUUCUUGUAUGGCACG